GACGAACGCUGGCGGCGUGCUUAACACAUGCAAGUCGAACGGAAAGGCCCCUUUGGGGGUACUCGAGUGGCGAACGGGUGAGUAACACGUGAGUAACCUGCCCUUGACUUCGGGAUAACUUCAGGAAACUGGGGCUAAUACCGGAUAGGAAUCCUUGCUGCAUGGUGGGGGUUGGAAAGCUUCGGCGGUUUUGGAUGGACUCGCGGCUUAUCAGCUUGUUGGUGGGGUAGUGGCUUACCAAGGCUUUGACGGGUAGCCGGCCUGAGAGGGCGACCGGCCACAUUGGGACUGAGAUACGGCCCAGACUCCUACGGGAGGCAGCAGUGGGGAAUAUUGCACAAUGGGCGGAAGCCUGAUGCAGCAACGCCGCGUGCGGGAUGACGGCCUUCGGGUUGUAAACCGCUUUCAGCAGGGGCGAAGCUUGUGGUGACGGCACCUGCAGAAGAAGCACCGGCUAACUACGU
Molecule: ribosomal RNA, 464 nt
Filed under: uncultured bacterium
Lineage: Bacteria
Description: partial 16S ribosomal RNA
Rfam family: Bacterial small subunit ribosomal RNA
Source: RNAcentral